UUCGCUUUUCCGGCCUUUGGCUAAAUAAAAAUUGAAGUUUUGUUUUGAUCAGCUUAAUAUCUGUACGAUCCCCAUGGGGGAUCUAAAAUAUUAAAAUUUUUUUUUGGAAAAGGGCGAAGGGCUGGGGGCUUGUCCAACUUUGUCGCAGAUCGGCCCUUAUUGCAGUGCCCCCUGGAUGGCCCCACUCCCU
This is a small nuclear RNA of Penaeus monodon (black tiger shrimp), 190 nucleotides long. RefSeq annotates it as U2 spliceosomal RNA. The record is from RefSeq and is a predicted model, not a curated record. The transcript has a single exon. NCBI's taxonomy places the organism in Eukaryota, Metazoa, Arthropoda, Malacostraca, Decapoda, Penaeidae.